This 852-nucleotide ribosomal RNA is filed under the name Oxalobacteraceae sp. CFBP 8755. RNAcentral's name for it is "partial 23S ribosomal RNA". It matches the Rfam family "Bacterial large subunit ribosomal RNA", at positions 353 to 1209 of the family's 2925-position model. The record is from RNAcentral. Lineage: Bacteria; Pseudomonadati; Pseudomonadota; Betaproteobacteria; Burkholderiales; Oxalobacteraceae.
CGCCAUAGAGGGUGAUAGCCCCUUACACGAAAUUCGAACGGUGGUACUAAGCAUACGACAAGUAGGGCGGGACACGAGAAAUCCUGUCUGAACAUGGGGGGACCAUCCUCCAAGGCUAAAUACUCGUAAUCGACCGAUAGUGAACCAGUACCGUGAGGGAAAGGCGAAAAGAACCCCGGGAGGGGAGUGAAAUAGAUCCUGAAACCGUGUGCAUACAAACAGUAGGAGCGGACUUGUUCCGUGACUGCGUACCUUUUGUAUAAUGGGUCAGCGACUUACAUUCAGUGGCGAGGUUAACCGUAUAGGGGAGCCGUAGAGAAAUCGAGUCCGAAUAGGGCGACAGUCGCUGGGUGUAGACCCGAAACCAAGUGAUCUACCCAUGGCCAGGAUGAAGGUGCGGUAACACGCCCUGGAGGUCCGAACCCACUAAUGUUGAAAAAUUAGGGGAUGAGCUGUGGGUAGGGGUGAAAGGCUAAACAAACUUGGAAAUAGCUGGUUCUCUCCGAAAACUAUUUAGGUAGUGCCUCAAGUAUCACCAUCGGGGGUAGAGCACUGUUAUGGCUAGGGGGUCAUUGCGACUUACCAAACCAUUGCAAACUCCGAAUACCGAUGAGUGCGAGCUUGGGAGACAGACAUCGGGUGCUAACGUCCGGUGUCAAGAGGGAAACAACCCAGACCGCCAGCUAAGGUCCCAAAGAUUGGCUAAGUGGAAAACGAAGUGGGAAGGCUAAAACAGUCAGGAUGUUGGCUUAGAAGCAGCCAUCAUUUAAAGAAAGCGUAAUAGCUCACUGAUCGAGUCGUCCUGCGCGGAAGAUGUAACGGGGCUAAGCCAGUCACCGAAGCUGCGGAUAU